ACAGAAGGUAAUAGUCCUGUAUGUUAAACGAGAAGACUUUAGAUAUGAUCCAGAGUACCACGGGACACGUGAAACCCUGUGGGAAGCAGGAGGGACCACCCUCCAAGGCUAAAUACUACCUAGUGACCGAUAGCGUAUAGUACCGUGAGGGAAAGGUGAAAAGAACCCCGGGAGGGGAGUGAAAUAGAACCUGAAACCCUGCACUUACAAGCUGUGGAAGCACAUUUCUUGUGUGACCGCGUACUUUUUGUAGAACGGGCCAACGAGUUACGUUAAGUAGCAAGGUUAAGCACUUAAGGUGCGGAGCCGUAGCGAAAGCGAGUUUUAACUGAGCGUUCAGUUACUUGACGUAGACCCGAAACCGGGCGACCUACCCAUGAGCAGGAUGAAGCGAAAGUAAAAUUUCGUGGAGGUCCGAACCCACGAGCGUUGAAAAGCUCGGGGAUGACUUGUGGGUAGCGGUGAAAUUCCAAUCGAGCCCGGAGAUAGCUGGUUCUCCCCGAAAUAGCUUUAGGGCUAGCCUCAAGGUGAGAGAUACGGAGGUAGAGCACUGAAUGUCCUAGGGGGUAUUGCACCUACCGAAGACUAUCAAACUCCGAAUGCCGUCAUCUUAUACUUGGGAGUCAGACUGUGGGUGAUAAGAUUCAUAGUCGAAAGGGCAACAGCCCAGAUCGUCAGCUAAGGUCCCUAAAUGUAAGUUAAGUGGUAAAGGAUGUGGGAUUGCACAGACAACCAGGAUGUUGGCUUAGAAGCAGCCACUCAUUCAAAGAGUGCGUAAUAGCUCACUGGUCGAGUGAUCCUGCGCCGAAGAUUUCCGGGGCUAAAACUU
RNAcentral lists this ribosomal RNA (829 nucleotides) under Clostridioides difficile. Its description in RNAcentral is "partial 23S ribosomal RNA". It matches the Rfam family "Bacterial large subunit ribosomal RNA", at positions 357 to 1189 of the family's 2925-position model. The record is from RNAcentral. Lineage: Bacteria; Bacillati; Bacillota; Clostridia; Peptostreptococcales; Peptostreptococcaceae.